GACGAACGCUGGCGGCGUGCUUAACACAUGCAAGUCGAACGGAAAGGCCCUGCUUUUGUGGGGUGCUCGAGUGGCGAACGGGUGAGUAACACGUGAGUAACCUGCCCUUGACUUUGGGAUAACUUCAGGAAACUGGGGCUAAUACCGGAUAGGAGCUCAUGCUGCAUGGUGGGGGUUGGAAAGUUUCGGCGGUUGGGGAUGGACUCGCGGCUUAUCAGCUUGUUGGUGGGGUAGUGGCUUACCAAGGCUUUGACGGGUAGCCGGCCUGAGAGGGUGACCGGCCACAUUGGGACUGAGAUACGGCCCAGACUCCUACGGGAGGCAGCAGUGGGGAAUAUUGCACAAUGGGCGGAAGCCUGAUGCAGCAACGCCGCGUGCGGGAUGACGGCCUUCGGGUUGUAAACCGCUUUCGCCUGUGACGAAGCGUGAGUGACGGCAAUGGGUAAAGAAGCACCGGCUAACUACGUG
RNAcentral lists this ribosomal RNA (468 nucleotides) under uncultured bacterium. Its description in RNAcentral is "partial 16S ribosomal RNA". It matches the Rfam family "Bacterial small subunit ribosomal RNA", at positions 28 to 507 of the family's 1533-position model. The record is from RNAcentral.